Long non-coding RNA from Panthera uncia (snow leopard), 1086 nucleotides. RefSeq lists it as uncharacterized. The transcript has 4 exons. The record is from RefSeq and is a predicted model, not a curated record. Lineage: Eukaryota; Metazoa; Chordata; Mammalia; Carnivora; Felidae.
GGGGCGGCCCCAACGGCUGGCCGGCGUGGACGGAAAUUAAAUGAAGGCCGGAGGGAAUAAUCCCCGCAAAGCGCAUCUCUGGCCGCCCUCGUUGAAAAUCCUUCCAGCUCCUGGGCUCCCGCCCCGCGCUCUUCCACCCCCCACCCCGACCCCACCCCGGCCGUGAUCGCCUCCGGCUCUCUCUCUCUCUCUCUCUCUCUCUCUCUCUCUCUCUCUCUCUCUCUCUCCCUUGCGCAUCGCUGUUUCCCCGGGGACCUAGAACAGCACCUCACAUCCUGAUCAAUACAUAUGUCAAAAAUAAUUUUAAAAUGAUAAUAAUAAUGGGACUUUCAGGAACUGUAACCUCGAGAAAUGGAGAAGGGAGACCAUUCCUCACAUCACUAAACAUUUUGUGUGAAGGCCAGCACCCGAAAAAUGCUUAACUACUUGGUGGGAUCAAAUUUCUCAAAGGCAGAGGUCAUCUGUCCGUCCAGGCAGCUAAUGAGCCAUGAAGACUAAAUGGAACACGGGAUCCUGGAUGGCUUCCUGAACCACAGAAGGGACAUUAGUAGGACAGCUGGUGAAACAGGAAUAGUCAGAAGUCACACGGCAAGACUGGGGUCUCUGCUCAGGGUCUCGGGAGGCCGAAAUCACUGUGAGCGGGGGAGUUCCCAACCGGAGACUGGAGAAAAACCGCCUUGCAAGCUCAUUCCCAGGGCAGAAUUCAGUUCCUGUAGUUCAGGAGUAAAGUCCUCACUUCCUGCCGGCCACCAGCUGCCAGCCACCAGCACUCUGUUCCCAGGGGCUGCCUGCAUCCUUGCCACGUGGCCGCCUCCUGUCUUCAGUCGCGGAGUUUCAGAAAUCAGGAUUCAGUCUCUAGGGGACAGACGCUAUCCACACCCUCGCUGUCCCGGAUGGAAGGAGAGUAGCAUUGUGUUUAGUGCUCAGCCGCAGCUCCGGAGGCACCAGCAGCUGGGAGUGCACACCCUGGGGCUGCCCGGUUCCUGGCCAGUCGGGGACAGUUGUCCCUUUCUUCACAAGGAAAGAGUGGCUGCAGAGAACGGGGUUUAAGUUGGGCCUUUGAAGCCCACCGAGCCCAGGGCCGGG